RNAcentral lists this ribosomal RNA (451 nucleotides) under uncultured Leptolinea sp. Its description in RNAcentral is "bacterial SSU rRNA". It matches the Rfam family "Bacterial small subunit ribosomal RNA", at positions 921 to 1377 of the family's 1533-position model. Lineage: Bacteria; Bacillati; Chloroflexota; Anaerolineae; Anaerolineales; Anaerolineaceae. The record is from RNAcentral.
CGGGCCGCACAAGCGGUGGAGCAUGUGGUUUAAUUCGAUGCAACGCGAAGAACCUUUACCUAGGCUUGACAUCCCUGGAAUUUGUGGAACACAAAAGUGCCUUUCGGGGAACCAGGAGACAGGUGCUGCAUGGCUGUCGUCAGCUCGUGUCGUGAGAUGUUCGGUUAAGUCCGCUAACGAGCGCAACCCUCGUCGUGUGUUAUACGUGUCACACGAUACUGCCGGUAUCAAGCCGGAGGAAGGUGGGAUGAUGUCAAGUCAGCAUGGCCUUUAUAUCCUGGGCUACACACACGCUACAAUGGCAGAUACAAUAGGUUGCGAAACCGCGAGGUGGAGCCAAUCCUCAAAGUCUGUCUCAGUUCAGAUUGUAGGCUGCAACUCGCCUGCAUGAAGUUGGAGUUGCUAGUAACCGCAGGUCAGCAAUACUGCGGUGAAUACGUUCCCGGGGAUU